CCCCUCUCAGGGUCACACCUGGAGAGUUUCCAGUCCUCUACCAGUCACGACUAUGGGAGGGAGAGUCAAGCAGAGGCCUGUCCAUUCCGUUCCUAGCUUGGCCAGCGGCUAGCGAGUGGAAGGCCAUCUGCUACAAGU
This 138-nucleotide small nucleolar RNA is filed under the name Ornithorhynchus anatinus (platypus). The record is from RNAcentral. Lineage: Eukaryota; Metazoa; Chordata; Mammalia; Monotremata; Ornithorhynchidae.